AGAGAGAGGGCACAGACACAGCAACUCACUGAGCCAAGAGAGACAGGGCACUCAGCAACUCACUGAGCCAAGAGAGACAGGGCACUCAGCAACUCACUGAGCCAAGAGACCUCACCAUGCCAGGGCGAGACAGGGCAUACUGCAACUCACUGAGCCAAGAGAGGCAGGGCACACUGCAACUCACUGAGCUAAGGGAGCUCACAAUGCCAGGAAGAGACAAGAGAAACAGGGCAGCUCACCAUGCUAAUGAAAGAAAGGGCAUGCUCUAACUCACUGAGUCAAGGGAGCUCACAAUGCCAGGGAGAGUCAGGUCACAUUAAAACUUACUGAGACAAGAGAGCUCAUCAUGCCUGGGAGACACAGGACACACUGCAACUCACUGAGCCAAGAGAGCUCACAGUGCCAGGGAGAGAUAGGAGAGACAAGGCAGCUUACCAUGCCA
Molecule: non-coding RNA, 442 nt
Organism: Pelobates cultripes (western spadefoot toad)
Lineage: Eukaryota; Metazoa; Chordata; Amphibia; Anura; Pelobatidae
Source: the annotation of a GenBank genome assembly